This 976-nucleotide ribosomal RNA is filed under the name Murrayinella globosa. RNAcentral's name for it is "bacterial SSU rRNA". It matches the Rfam family "Eukaryotic small subunit ribosomal RNA", at positions 1160 to 1801 of the family's 1831-position model. Lineage: Eukaryota; Foraminifera; Rotaliida; Murrayinellidae. The record is from RNAcentral.
AAGGGCACCACAAGAACGCGUGGAGCAUGUGGCUUAAUUUGACUCAACGCGGGAAAUCUUACCGGGUCCGGACACACUGAGGAUUGACAGGCAAUAUUAUAACCUCGCUAUUUAAUGGCAGGUUAUAUGUUAAAUAUGCUGGUCCUUUCAUGAUUAUGUGAUAGGUGGUGCAUGGCCGUUCUUAGUUCGUGGAGUGAUCUGUCUGCUUAAUUGCGUUUCACUAAGGGCCUAUUUACAAUGUAUGUUGCGGCACUUUGACCCCUGUAUUUCUAUACAGCGCGUGUCUUUGUUUGCUUAUGCGCAUACUAUUAGGUCCUGAAAGCAACGAACGUGACCGCAACCUCUUGUUGCCCGCAUUACAAUGCAUAUUUUUAUAAUAUGUUUCGUGGGCCAUAUUUAAACUAGAGGGACCGCUGUUACUUUCUUAAACCAGAGGAAGGUUGCGGCAAUAACAGGUCUGUGAUGCCCUUAGAUGUUCCGGGCUGCACACGUGCUACAAUGAUUAUUGCAGUGAGCAUCUCAUUUUAUAACACACCGCAUGCGCGGGUCCAUUUAUUCACUUCUGUGUUUUAAAUGCGUUUACUCUGCGCGCGGUAAAGCCUGCUUCGAAAGUAAGUGGGUAAUCAAUUAGAAGUAAUGAUUUCCUUUAUUAUUUGCACAAUUAUAUACGGCAUCUUUACCCGGCUGUCCUUUGUUGGCAGUUCUUUGUGCGUAUUGAUGUAUUAUUCCGUAUGUGCGAUUGUCAAUUCAUGGUGGGGACAGACCAUUGUUAAUUGUUGGUCUCGGUCUUAACUAGGAAUGCCUUGUACGGGUCUUUGGUUCAACAAACCACCCGGAAUACGUCCCUGCCCUUUGUACACACCGCCCGUCGCUCUUACCGAUGGACUUCUCUGUGAGUUUGAGGGACUGGGUAUCUUAACCUAUGGAAACUUAAACGAACAGUGUGGUCUAAAGGAAAGAGAAGUCGAACAAGGCA